RNAcentral lists this ribosomal RNA (439 nucleotides) under uncultured bacterium. RNAcentral describes it as "partial 16S ribosomal RNA". It matches the Rfam family "Bacterial small subunit ribosomal RNA", at positions 338 to 795 of the family's 1533-position model. The record is from RNAcentral.
CCUACGGGAGGCAGCAGUGGGGAAUAUUGCACAAUGGGCGAAAGCCUGAUGCAGCAACGCCGCGUGAGCGAUGAAGGCCUUCGGGUCGUAAAGCUCUGUCCUCAAGGAAGAUAAUUACGGUACUUGAGGAUGACGCCCCGGCUAACUACGUGCCAGCAGCCGCGGUAAUACGUAGGGGGCUAGCGUUAUCCGGAAUUACUGGGCGUAAAGGGUGCGUAGGUGGUUUCUUAAGUCAGAGGUGAAAGGCUACGGCUCAACCGUAGUAAGCCUUUGAAACUGGGGAACUGGAGUGGAGGAGAGGAGAGUGGAAUGCCUAGUGUAGCGGUGAAAUGCGUAGAUAUUAGGAAGAACACCAGUUGCGAAGGCGGCUCUCUGGACUGUAACUGACGCUGAGGCACGAAAGCGUGGGGAGCGAACAGGAUUAGAUACCCGAGUAGUC